GUGAUGCCUGCCCGGUGCUGGAAGAUUAAUUGAUGGGGUGCAAGCUCCUGAUCGAAGUCCCAGUAAACGGCGGCCGUAACUAUAACGGUCCUAAGGUAGCGAAAUUCCUUGUCGGGCAAGUUCCGACCUGCACGAAUGGCAUAACGAUGGCCACACUGUCUCCUCCUGAGACUCAGUGAAGUUGAAGUGUUUGUGAUGAUGCAAUCUCCCCGCGGCUAGACGGAAAGACCCCAUGAACCUUUACUGUAGCUUUGCAUUGGACUUUGAACCGAUCUGUGUAGGAUAGGUGGGAGGCUGUGAAACCGGGACGCCAGUACCGGUGGAGCCGUCCUUGAAAUACCACCCUGAUUUGUUUGAGGUUCUAACCUAGGUCGGUAAUCCCGAUCGGGGACCGUGCAUGGUAGGCAGUUUGACUGGGGCGGUCUCCUCCUAAAGGGUAACGGAGGAGUGCGAAGGUACGCUAGGUACGGUCGGAAAUCGUGCUGAUAGUGCAAUGGCAAAAGCGUGCUUGACUGCGAGACCCACAAGUCGAGCAGAUACGAAAGUAGGUCAUAGUGAUCCGGUGGCUCUGUAUGGAAGGGCCAUCGCUCAACGGAUAAAAGGUACUCUGGGGAUAACAGGCUGAUACCGCCCAAGAGUUCAUAUCGACGGCGGUGUUUGGCACCUCGAUGUCGGCUCAUCUCAUCCUGGGGCUGUAGCCGGUCCCAAGGGUAUGGCUGUUCGCCAUUUAAAGAGGUACGUGAGCUGGGUUUAAAACGUCGUGAGACAGUUUUGUCCCUAUCUGCCGUGGGCGCUGGAAGAUUGACGGGGGCUGCUCCUAGUACGAGAGGACCGGAGUGGACUCACCUCUGGUGUACCGGUUGUCACGCCAGUGGCAUUGCCGGGUAGCUAUGUGGGGAAGAGAUAACCGCUGAAAGCAUCUAAGCGGGAAACUUGCCUGAAGAUAAGUCUUCCUGGAGGCUUGACCUCCCUAAAGAGUCGUUCGAGACCAGGACGUUGAUAGGUUGGGUGUGUAAGCGCUGUGAGGCGUUGAGCUAACCAAUACUAAUUGCUCGUGCAGCUUGAUCCU
This 1069-nucleotide ribosomal RNA is filed under the name human gut metagenome. Its description in RNAcentral is "bacterial LSU rRNA". It matches the Rfam family "Bacterial large subunit ribosomal RNA", at positions 1852 to 2925 of the family's 2925-position model. The record is from RNAcentral.